RNAcentral lists this transfer RNA (71 nucleotides) under Brisinga sp. SS-2022. Its description in RNAcentral is "tRNA-Ala". It matches the Rfam family "tRNA". Rfam says of the family: Transfer RNA (tRNA) molecules are approximately 80 nucleotides in length. Their secondary structure includes four short double-helical elements and three loops (D, anti-codon, and T loops). Lineage: Eukaryota; Metazoa; Echinodermata; Asteroidea; Brisingida; Brisingidae. The record is from RNAcentral.
GUGAAUUUAGUUUUAAUUAAAAACAUUUAUUCUGCACAUAUAAAAUAAAGGUUUAAAUCCUUUAAUUUACA